Molecule: long non-coding RNA, 2844 nt
Filed under: Mytilus galloprovincialis (Mediterranean mussel)
Lineage: Eukaryota; Metazoa; Mollusca; Bivalvia; Mytilida; Mytilidae
Source: RNAcentral
GUUAAUGACUACUAAUAGUCCAGUCAUAAGAUUUUUCAUGUUUAUAAUUUAGUUUUUGAAGUAGUGUAACUGAAUAUAUUCAUUAUCAUAAUACAUUUCAGGAAUUAGGAAUAUUCAAAGGUAUUGUAAAAAAUCAAAUUAUUCUGCACUUUUUUUAGUAUGGACAAUUAAAAUGGCCUAAUAUACCAAUUUGUGUUCUUUGUUUGUUACCUCAUGUUAAAUCUAUAGUCAUCUAUAGGAUGAACAGUAUGGAUCAAGAUUUUAUGCAUUAUUUGAACUUAAAUGAGUAUUUUACACAAAUUUCAUUUUUAGCUCACCUGGCCCAAAGGGCCAAGUGAGCUUUUCUCAUCACUUGGUGUCCAGCGUCGUUUACUUUUACAAAAAUCUUCUCCUCUGAAACCACUUGGCCAAAUUUAACCAAACUUGGCCACAAUCAUCAUUGGGGUAUCUAGUUUAAAAAAUGUGUGGCGUGACCCAGCCAACCAACCAAAAUGGCCACCAUGGCUAAAAAUAGAACAUAUGGGGUAAAAUGUAGAUUUUGGCUUUUAACUCUGAAACCAAAGCAUUUAGAGCAAAUCUGACAAGGGGUUAAAUUGUUUAUCAGUUCAAGAUCUAUCUGUCCUGAGAUUUUUCGACGAAUCGAACAACCGGUUGUUGGGUUUCUGCCCCUGAAUUGGCAAUUUUAAGGAAAUUUUGCCGUUUUUUUUGCUAUUAUCUUGAAUAUUAUUAUAGAUAGAGAUAAACUGUAAACAGCAAUAAUGUUCAGCAAAGUAAGAUCCACAAAUAAGUCAACAUGACCAAAAUGGUCAGUUGACCCCUGAAGGAGUUAUUGUCCUUUAUAGUCAAUUUUUAAUAAUUUUCAUAAAUUUUGUUAAUUUUUGUAAAUUUUAACAAACUAUUUUCCUCUGUAACUAAUGGGCCAAGUUCAUUAUAAAUAGAGAUAAUUGUAAGAAGCAAGAAUGUUCAGUAAAGUAAGAUCUACAAACAUAUAAACAUCACCAAAACACAAUUUUGUCAUUAAUCCAUCUGUGUCCUUUGUUUAAUAUGCACAUAGACCAAGGUGAGCGACACAGGCUCUUAAGAGCCUCUAGUUAUACUAAUAAUGCAAAUUUGGUAAUACUCUAUACAAUUUUUAACAUGUUACUCAAGAAUAUCUGUUUAUUUUUCAUCACUGAUUGUAAAUUUAAGUUAUAACCAGUCAAUUUAUUUUUUGAAGAUAUUUUCAAACAUAUUAAGGGUCUAAGAAUUUUGAAGCCAGUUUAUGGUUAUCCAGAUAUUACAGAUAUAAAAUAAAUUAGAUUCUAAAAACUUUCUCAUAAACCCCAUUAUGUAUAUAAUACGCUGUGAAGUGUAAAAAUUUUCAUAUUAAGAAUACUAGAAUAUCCAUUUGUGUUAAUUCGAUUAUUAAUUAAGAUAAAGGAAACGAAAAUUUGAAAAUAUGACCACUGAUAGUAUGGGUUAUAUAAGGGGUAAAUGAACCUGGAAAUGGGGUCUGAAGAGAGAGUCAUGGAUAAAACAACCUGGAUAAGAGGGGAGUAAAAAUUAUAGAUAUUCUGGAAAAGUUUCUCUGUUCUUCAUUUGGGGUAGGGAUAGGAUUGAGUCGAAAGAAUUUGGAGUUGAGGAAAGGGAAAUUGGAUAUCAAGGACCCCUGUCUACCCACUUUGAUACGAUUAACCUUAGAAAUGGAAAAAAAUCAAACACCUUUGAAAUAAUCCACUUUACAGUAUCAUCAUUAUCAUAUGGUUUGUCCCUGUUCUCAUCUACUUGUAUAUUGAAAAAUCUUCUAGGGUAUUUUGUUGCAUUAAGUUGAAUGCAGAUAGUACUUUUAACUAUAACUUCCCUCAGAAGGUGGAGAAAUACUGGAUGUACACAGUCUAUCUUUUACACUUUUCUUUUGCUGUUUUUUUUUUUUGGAAAAUAUAAAUCAGUUGUAUGACAUUUGUUGCCAUAUAUCAUCUGUACUGUGUGAUAUUUACCAAAUUCUUGUCAUCUUGUUUAUUAAAUUUACCUAUUCAAGAUAUCUCCCAUGUUUCAAAUCAAUUGCCACUCCGAUUUCUGAUAUUCAUAAUAUAAAUACUUCUUGCGUCUGGUUUAUUUUAAAGUUUGAAGCUAGUCUUCUGCAUACUUACCAAAGAUCUGAGGGUUUAUCAUAGGUUUUUUUUGUAAUAUAAUAUUGUCUUCAUUCAAUAUAAGAGAAAAUGGCUACCUGUACAUGUUGUUUUCACAGAUCUUUCUGAACAAAAAUAACUUACCGUUUGUCUUUCUUUGAACUUGUAAAGUUCAUUGGCCCCUUUUAUUUAUUAAAAAUGCAUAAUCUUUAACUGGGUUUUGCCUAUAAGGUUAUAUUGAUUUCUAAGUUUUUUUGCUAUUUAUGUACUUUGUAUUUGUAGAUACCACCUGAUUUUCGAAGCUUGAAAAAACAAUCUCACACCUGUUGAACUGUUGUGUAAUGCUAUGAAUCACAUACAAUGACAGAAUUUAUCUAGGUAUUAUCAUCCUACCAUAUGUUUUUCCAAGACAUUUGAUUUAUAAUGGUAUGGCAACCUGUUAUUCUUGACAAAUGUACUUAAACAUUUAAUAUUUCUUUUUUUUCAGUAGAUUUUCAUAAGUGUAUAUGGUAUACUUGCAAAUAGCCUUAAUUCUCCAUAUCAUUUUAUAAAUGUAUAAUUGACAAUAAUUGAUAUAUUAAAGCAUAAAGAUGGUUGACAAAGUGACUUGAAAUAUUCUGUAUAAUCUAAUCAUUAAUUGACACACUGAAUUGUAUAUAUUUUUUCACAUUCAGUUACUUUAAUAUUUACAGUGGUUUAUAUAUGCUAGACUUUUCACUACUGUUAUCAAAUAUGA